CACGUAGGGUGCGAGCGUUGUCCGGAAUUAUUGGGCGUAAAGAGCUCGUAGGCGGUGUGUCGCGUCGGCCGUGAAAACCUGCAGCUUAACUGUGGGCUUGCGGUCGAUACGGGCAUCACUGGAGUUCGGCAGGGGAGACUGGAAUUCCUGGUGUAGCGGUGAAAUGCGCAGAUAUCAGGAGGAACACCGGUGGCGAAGGCGGGUCUCUGGGACGUGACUGACGCUGAGACGCGAAAGCGUGGGGAGCAAACAGG
This 254-nucleotide ribosomal RNA is filed under the name uncultured bacterium. RNAcentral's name for it is "partial 16S ribosomal RNA". It matches the Rfam family "Bacterial small subunit ribosomal RNA", at positions 524 to 776 of the family's 1533-position model. The record is from RNAcentral.